Molecule: long non-coding RNA, 613 nt
Filed under: Brassica napus (rape)
Lineage: Eukaryota; Viridiplantae; Streptophyta; Magnoliopsida; Brassicales; Brassicaceae
Description: long non-coding RNA (BNAP_LNC003926)
Source: RNAcentral
GCCUAGGGAUUGGCCAGUGAGCUCUUGUGCCUUAGAACCAGUGUGGUUGGACACAAGAAGUUCUGGAUCACGGCCUAAACUGGUGCAGCAACUCCUCAAGACUUUGCGCACUCAACAACUUAGCUUCACCUCUUCAUGGAACUGGUUUGAAGUCUCCCCCUCUCAACUGACUUCACAGCCUUCUUAGAGAAGCUAGGAUACGACCAGAUCAUCUUCAAAGCACCAGUGAGGCUGAUCAACACUUCAUACACGGCUUGCCCUCUUCAUAGAACUGGUUUGGAUCUCCCCCUCUCAACAGACUUUAUAGCCACCUUAGAGAAGCUAGGAAAUGACCAGGAACACCUUUAGUGAGGCUCAAGCAAUGGUACCUGAUACAUUAUCCCAAAGGUGCAUCAGUACCUAUCAAAAACAAGAAAAUGAAUAUCCUGCAUCACAUUUGAUGCACACAAUCUCACAAUUCAAUCAUAAUCAUCUUAAGUAUCUUUUCAAGCACAAGCAAUGAAAUAAGAUGAAUGAAAAAGAUUGAAAAGAGUUUUAAAAGUCUAAGGGAACUUCCCUUGUGUUUUUGUGAGUUUCCUAACUCGGCCAAUGCACCAUCUUCAUGGCAUCAUCA